UGAACGCUGGCGGCGUGCCUAAUACAUGCAAGUCGAGCGAACAGAUGAGGAGCUUGCUCCUCUGACGUUAGCGGCGGACGGGUGAGUAACACGUGGAUAACCUACCUAUAAGACUGGGAUAACUUCGGGAAACCGGAGCUAAUACCGGAUAAUAUAUUGAACCGCAUGGUUCAAUAGUGAAAGACGGUUUUGCUGUCACUUAUAGAUGGAUCCGCGCCGCAUUAGCUAGUUGGUAAGGUAACGGCUUACCAAGGCAACGAUGCGUAGCCGACCUGAGAGGGUGAUCGGCCACACUGGAACUGAGACACGGUCCAGACUCCUACGGGAGGCAGCAAUAGGGAAUCUUCCGCAAUGGGCGAAAGCCUGACGGAGCAACGCCGCGUGAGUGAUGAAGGUCUUCGGAUCGUAAAACUCUGUUAUUAGGGAAGAACAAAUGUGUAAGUAACUAUGCACGUCUUGACGGUACCUAAUCAGAAAGCCACGGCUAACUACGUG
This 495-nucleotide ribosomal RNA is filed under the name uncultured bacterium. Its description in RNAcentral is "partial 16S ribosomal RNA". It matches the Rfam family "Bacterial small subunit ribosomal RNA", at positions 30 to 507 of the family's 1533-position model. The record is from RNAcentral.